This 73-nucleotide transfer RNA is filed under the name Omnitrophica bacterium GWA2_52_8. RNAcentral's name for it is "tRNA-Thr". It matches the Rfam family "tRNA". Rfam says of the family: Transfer RNA (tRNA) molecules are approximately 80 nucleotides in length. Their secondary structure includes four short double-helical elements and three loops (D, anti-codon, and T loops). The record is from RNAcentral. Lineage: Bacteria; Pseudomonadati; Candidatus Omnitrophota.
GCUGGUGUAGCUCAGUUGGUAGAGCAACGGUUUCGUAAACCGUAGGUCGUCAGUUCAAUUCUGACCACCAGCU